This 216-nucleotide ribosomal RNA is filed under the name Glomeromycotina sp. Its description in RNAcentral is "partial small subunit ribosomal RNA". The stretch from base 40 to 216 matches the Rfam family "Eukaryotic small subunit ribosomal RNA", at positions 686 to 864 of the family's 1831-position model. Lineage: Eukaryota; Fungi; Glomeromycota. The record is from RNAcentral.
GGGUCAGUAGGUUGGUCGUGCCACCGGUACGUACUGGUCUCACUGAUUCCUCCUUCCUGAAGAACCGUAAUGCCAUUAAUUUGGUGUUGCGGGGAAACAGGACUGUUACUUUGAAGAAAUUAGAGUGUUUAAAGCAAGCUAACGCUUGAAUACACUAGCAUGGAAUAAUGAAAUAGGACGAUCGAUCCUAUUUUGUUGGUUUCUAGGAUUGACGUA